Molecule: transfer RNA, 74 nt
Filed under: archaeon
Lineage: Archaea
Description: tRNA-Arg
Rfam family: tRNA
About the family: Transfer RNA (tRNA) molecules are approximately 80 nucleotides in length.
Source: RNAcentral
GGGCCUAUGGUGUAGCCUGGAUAGCACAGAUGGCUUCGGACCAUCAGACAGGGGUUCGAAUCCUCUUAGGCCCA